This 460-nucleotide ribosomal RNA is filed under the name uncultured bacterium. RNAcentral's name for it is "partial 16S ribosomal RNA". It matches the Rfam family "Bacterial small subunit ribosomal RNA", at positions 338 to 795 of the family's 1533-position model. The record is from RNAcentral.
CCUACGGGAGGCAGCAGUGAGGAAUAUUGGUCAAUGGACGAGAGUCUGAACCAGCCAAGUAGCGUGAAGGAUGACUGCCCUAUGGGUUGUAAACUUCUUUUAUAUGGGAAUAAAAUGUUCCACGUGUGGGAUUUUGUAUGUAACAUAUGAAUAAGGAUCGGCUAAAUCCGUGCCAGCAGCCGCGGUUAUACGGGGGAUUCGAGCGUUUUCCGGAUUUCUUGGGUUUAAAGGGAGCGUAGGUGGAUUGUUAAGGCAGUUGUGAAAGUUUGCGGCUCAACCGUAAAAUUGCAGUUGAAACUGGCAGUCUUGAGUACAGUAGAGGUAGGCGGAAUCCGUGGUGUAGCGGUGAAAUGCUUAGAUAUCACGAAGAACUCCGAUUGCGAAGGCAGCUCACUGGACUGCAACUGACGCUGAGGCUCGAAAGUGUGGGUAUCAAACAGGAUUAGAUACCCCGGUAGUC